Molecule: transfer RNA, 78 nt
Filed under: Isorropodon fossajaponicum endosymbiont JTNG4
Lineage: Bacteria; Pseudomonadati; Pseudomonadota; Gammaproteobacteria
Description: tRNA-Arg
Rfam family: tRNA
About the family: Transfer RNA (tRNA) molecules are approximately 80 nucleotides in length. Their secondary structure includes four short double-helical elements and three loops (D, anti-codon, and T loops).
Source: RNAcentral
GCGCUCGUGGCUCAAUUUGGAUAGAGUACUCGGCUACGAACCGAGCGGUUGCAGGUUCGACUCCCGCCGAGCGCACCA